This 1120-nucleotide unclassified non-coding RNA is filed under the name Limulus polyphemus (Atlantic horseshoe crab). Its description in RNAcentral is "uncharacterized protein C17orf62-like, transcript variant X2". Lineage: Eukaryota; Metazoa; Arthropoda; Merostomata; Xiphosura; Limulidae. The record is from RNAcentral.
GUAAACAGUAAGCAUGUGUUAACUUGUCAGGAACGGUUUAUAACUUAAGUGAUUUGGCUAGUUGCGAUGGUUUUUCGUAGCAUGCUGUUUACACACAUAAAAAUUGUUAAUAUAUAUUAGUUUUUCCAGGAAAUUACUUCACUUGAAUUGUAAUGACUCGUUUAAAUGUGAAAUUUAAGACGCAUGAUAGAAUAUAUUUAUCCAAAGUACCAGGAAUUCGGUCGUGGAGUAUUCUUGUUGGAAUAUUAUCAUUAGGAAUAGGUGCUGGAUAUUAUGGUUCAGAUCAUUUUCUUUUGAAGAUUGGAUAUGUAAUUGGCUGUUUGGUUAUAGGACUGUCAUUCUUAGAAGCUUGGGAGAAAUGUGAUUUUGACAAAACCAAGGGAAGUGUGGUUCUUCAGAAGAGCAGCAUAUUUCACAAACUGCUGUGGCCAUUUGUAAACCCUCCAAGAACUGUGCUGAGCAUUGAAGACUUGCUGGAUGUACGCAUAGGCCAGGGACCAGCUAACUCUUCUCACAUUGAGCUGGUUUUAAAAUCGGGGAUAACACUACCCCUUACUGAUACUCCCACAACAGGGACUAUGAGUGAAUUAGAAUGCCUUGCUGAUCUCUUACGAUCAUUCUUAAAAAUUGGCCAAGUUGAAAAUCUCAAGUACCAGUACUGUGAUGAGGAUCUAAGCUUUUUUGACUCCAGUAGCAGUAGUAAUGGUGCCUCUGACAUGGAACAAAAUAAUUUGGAAGACGAACGUGAGCCUCAGGUGACGUGGGUUGUCCGUGAACAAGUUGCAACUGUUAACCUUGCUAGAGAAACCUAAGCUUUAGAGGCAUACUUAUGUUUUAUACUCUUUGUAUUUGCCUAAAGUUGUGUAUGAUACACAUUUCAUAGAAGCCAAAGUUACUUUAUAACAAUAUCCUACAAAUGUGAAGGGCUGGUACUUGAUGAAAAUCCAGUAAGUUCAACCUAAGAAUUUUUAUUGUAAUCUAUAAACAUGUAUGACCCACUUUCCAUACCAAUUCAUGUAAAAUAACAGCAAAAAUGAUGAAUAAACUUGUGUAUCAGGUUUCUUAAUUUUUGACUGCUUACAUUAACCUUACAAAGUAGUUAUCAAGGUAUACUAUUGUG